AAAAACACUUUUUGUAGGGGCGGCGCCUGGAGCCCUCUUUCUUUUUUCUCGCAGAUCUGUGUGUGUACGCGGCGCGAAGCGAAUAUAUAGAUAUAAAUGAAGGAGUGGAAAGGAGAAAAAAGGGACACAGCACAUGAUUUGAAGGUUCACAUUAGAUUGGUUUGGAAGGGGGGUCUCCUGUCGUGUGUUACUCAACUUUAAAGUUCACUCGACCGUAUAGCCGGUGGAAUAAGAAAAUAAAAGGACUUGGUG
This is a non-coding RNA of Caenorhabditis elegans, 252 nucleotides long. The record is from Ensembl. Lineage: Eukaryota; Metazoa; Nematoda; Chromadorea; Rhabditida; Rhabditidae.